UCCUCCUUAGCUCAGCUGGUUAGAGCAUCUGACUGUUAAUCAGAGGGUCCAAGGUUCGAGUCCUUGAGGGGGAGCCA
RNAcentral lists this transfer RNA (77 nucleotides) under Flavobacteriales bacterium. RNAcentral's name for it is "tRNA-Asn". It matches the Rfam family "tRNA". Rfam says of the family: Transfer RNA (tRNA) molecules are approximately 80 nucleotides in length. Lineage: Bacteria; Pseudomonadati; Bacteroidota; Flavobacteriia; Flavobacteriales. The record is from RNAcentral. RNAcentral also lists the same sequence under 1 other name.